RNAcentral lists this transfer RNA (118 nucleotides) under Candidatus Pelearchaeum maunauluense. RNAcentral describes it as "tRNA-Leu". It matches the Rfam family "tRNA". From Rfam's summary of the family: Transfer RNA (tRNA) molecules are approximately 80 nucleotides in length. Their secondary structure includes four short double-helical elements and three loops (D, anti-codon, and T loops). The record is from RNAcentral. Lineage: Archaea; Thermoproteati; Nitrososphaerota; Candidatus Caldarchaeales; Candidatus Calditenuaceae.
GCGGGGGUCGCCAAGCCUGGUCAAAACCCAUGGCAGAAGCCAGGCCAAGACCAGCGGCGCAGGGUUCAGGCCCCUGUCCCGAAGGGGUUCGUGGGUUCAAAUCCCACCCCCCGCACCA